This 1087-nucleotide long non-coding RNA is filed under the name Brassica napus (rape). RNAcentral describes it as "long non-coding RNA (BNAP_LNC007458)". The record is from RNAcentral. Lineage: Eukaryota; Viridiplantae; Streptophyta; Magnoliopsida; Brassicales; Brassicaceae.
UGAAAUAUUACACAAUUCUCAUUAUAAAUGAUAAGCUUUUAAGUUGACAAAUAAACUUAGCAUCUAGCUCAUUUUUCAAGUACUUAAAUGUCAGUUAAUAGAAAACAAUAUUCGCCAUCAUCCGAACUUGCUUCUCAUUUAAUCCUGUAAAAGGAAACAUCCCUAUCUGUUUGAUAAUGUGACUCCAAUCACCAGGUGUACCUGCAGGUGUAACUGAAGCUUAUGGAUAUACACUACUCAAACGAAUGGAACAAGAUUCUAAGGUUUAUGCUAGAUGGUUCAAGGAACAAGACUAUCAUUUUCCUCAUUCGCUCAGUUUUUCAGACAACUAUUCACUACUUGUGGAGAGAACGCAAUGGUAGGCGACAUGGAGAGCAGCGUGUCCCUUCAGCUCGACUUCAAAUGGCCAUAGACAAGCAAAUUCGGAAUCAAAUAUCCUCAAGCCGGAUAAAUGGAAGUACGAGAUAUGCAAAAGCUAUGGAAGUGUGGUUUGCCACAAGAUAAACUUUAACCAUUUCAGAUCAUAGAGAAUGGUUUUCUAGUUUUUAGACUAAAAAUUUUAAAAAGAGAGACACGGCUAUUGUAAAGCAGUUUUUUUAUUUGAAUAUAAUUUAACAUUCUUUCAAAAAAAAAAACAAUAUUCGGUUCACGGUUCACUGAAAGUUACAAACAAAUGAGCAAAACUAUCUUCCGUCUACUAAAUUGCAGAUGUGUAGUAAUUGUUUGUUUUUGUUUGAUGUCAUGUUUAUAAUCAGUUUAUAAUUUUCAAAGAAAAUGAAAACAGUAAGCAAUUGAAGCAAAACGAAAUUAUAAGUUUGCGUUUGUAUUUGGAAAAACUAUAUGUUUUUAUUAAACGUCAAAAUGUUUAAUAUUUUAUAAAUGUGAAAUUUUUUUGAAUUUUUCUCUUGUCAUUUAACUGAGUACUAUAAACAUUAGAAGAGAAUAAAUGUGUGCCUUACCCAUCAUAAGUCAUGUAAAUGUGAUACUCUUUUGCCAUCAUCCGAACUUGCUUCUCAUUUAAUCCUGUAAAAGAAAACAUCCCUAUCUGUUUGAUAAUGUGACUCCAAUCACCAGGUGUGCCUGCAGG